This 776-nucleotide long non-coding RNA is filed under the name Zostera marina. RNAcentral describes it as "long non-coding RNA (ZMAR_LNC004307)". The record is from RNAcentral. Lineage: Eukaryota; Viridiplantae; Streptophyta; Magnoliopsida; Alismatales; Zosteraceae.
CAUAAAAUUAUAAAUCAUUCAAUCCUAAAAAUAGAGUGCACAUCAGAGACUCUUACAACUACUACCACUACACCGACAUAGCUGUAUAUUCAACUAACUAUUACUGCACUAGCUACCUCUUGUCUUUUCAAUUGAACCAUUCCCAUCUGUUUUGAACGAUCAAACGAAGACCCUCAUACAUGUAACAUCAGAGACCUAUCGUCUUCUUCCUAUCGUCAAUUGAACCAUUCCCAGAGUUAAGCAUGUAACAUCAGAGACCUAUCGUCUUCUUCCUAUCGUCAAUUGAACCAUUCCCAGAGUUAAGCAUGUAACAUCAGAGACCUAUCGUCUUCUUCCUUUUACCUAAGGAUUGAAAUCUCAAUAACCAAACCCAUUUCUACUCAAUACCCCUCUCCUUAACUUGUUCAAACUGAAACCACCGAAAACCAUUCUUUUCGUUCCUAAUCUGUUCCUGGGAUUCUCUAUUAAGGAUACUAUCCGUCUCAAUCGCCUCAACAUCUUUCUCUGCUCCCCAUUGAUUUCCAAAUCCGUCUCCGACGAGGACCUACUGAAGAUCUGGAAAGGGCUUUUCUACAGUGUCUGGCACACUGAUAAGCUUCCGGUUCAAGUUGAACUCAUUGACACCCUAUUGAUUAUCGAACUGUAAACUAUUGCAGUUAUUACAUGUUUGUAAUUAAAGUUUUAAUAUUUGAUUGACAACUGAUUUUCUUGAUUGACAUUUGAUGUAAGUAAAAUAAUAAAUUACACUUUAAUAAAGUGUAUGGAUAGUUUUUGAA